AAAAAUACAUUAAGAUUUAAGCAUCUAUCUUAAAAUGUACAUCUAUCUUAAAAUGGUAGUAAAUUAUAUAAAAAUGGAAAUACCACAUUAAACAAAAAAAAAUGUAUAGUUUUACAUCAAGAAAGUUCCUAUAAAACUCAUUAUUCCAUCAACAUCAACCUCACACUAUCAAGGAAAGCUUCAAAUCACUCGAGCAAAAAAAUGGUUCCACUAUC
This 215-nucleotide long non-coding RNA is filed under the name Brassica rapa (field mustard). RNAcentral describes it as "long non-coding RNA (BRAP_LNC007512)". Lineage: Eukaryota; Viridiplantae; Streptophyta; Magnoliopsida; Brassicales; Brassicaceae. The record is from RNAcentral.